This 253-nucleotide ribosomal RNA is filed under the name uncultured bacterium. RNAcentral's name for it is "partial 16S ribosomal RNA". It matches the Rfam family "Bacterial small subunit ribosomal RNA", at positions 524 to 776 of the family's 1533-position model. The record is from RNAcentral.
UACGUAGGGUGCGAGCGUUGUCCGGAAUUACUGGGCGUAAAGAGCUCGUAGGUGGUUUGUCGCGUUGUUCGUGAAAACUCACAGCUUAACUGUGGGCGUGCGGGCGAUACGGGCAGACUGGAGUACUGCAGGGGAGACUGGAAUUCCUGGUGUAGCGGUGAAAUGCGUAGAUAUCAGGAGGAACACCCGUAGCGAAGGCGGCACUCUGGGCCGGUACUGACGCUGAGGAGCGAAAGCGUGGGGAGCAAACAGG